UGGGGAAUAUUGGACAAUGGGCGCAAGCCUGAUCCAGCCAUGCCGCGUGUGUGAAGAAGGCCUUUUGGUUGUAAAGCACUUUAAGCGAGGAGGAGGCUACUUGGAUUAAUACUCUAAGAUAGUGGACGUUACUCGCAGAAUAAGCACCGGCUAUCUCUGUGCCAGCAGCCGCGGUAAUACAGAGGGUGCGAGCGUUAAUCGGAUUUACUGGGCGUAAAGCGUGCGUAGGCGGCUUCUUAAGUCGGAUGUGAAAUCCCUGAGCUUAACUUAGGAAUUGCAUUCGAUACUGGGAAGCUAGAGUAUGAGAGAGGAUGGUAGAAUUCCAGGUGUAGCGGAGAACUGCGUAGAGAUCGGGAGGAAUACCGAUGGCGAAGGCAGCCAUCUGGCAUAAUACUGACGCUGAGGUACGAAAGCAUGGGGAGCAAACAGG
This 430-nucleotide ribosomal RNA is filed under the name Bacillota bacterium. RNAcentral's name for it is "Firmicutes bacterium partial 16S ribosomal RNA". It matches the Rfam family "Bacterial small subunit ribosomal RNA", at positions 355 to 776 of the family's 1533-position model. Lineage: Bacteria; Bacillati; Bacillota. The record is from RNAcentral.